AAAGGUGCUAUGUGCUCCAAAAGAGCCAAAUACAUUAGCAUUCUUUAACCAUAACUUUUGAAGUCGAUAUUUGACUACUUUUGCAUUUCUUCUAGGUUGUAGUUAGACAACUCCUAAUUCUAUGGGGAAAGCAAAGACUAUAAAAUGCCAGAGCUUCACUCUGCUGAAAUAACAUUAGUGAAAUAUCAAGUCCUUUAUGAUGUCAUGAGGGAUUCCUUAAUAUGACUAUAGCUUCCUAAUGACAUCAUAAAAAACAACUGCAACAUCAGAAAACAGCCAAGGGUCAUCAAUCAGCCCAUCCUCUCUCCUACUCACCAGAGGCAGCAGCCCAGCUUGCUCCUAUCUGCUUUUUAUGAGCAAUGCUGUCCUCUGAAUAGCACACAGAGAAGAGACUAAUAAUCAUACAAAUAUCAGGGAGAGCGGUCAAUCAUCACCUGAAAUGUUCAGUACACCUGAGGGAAAUUCGGGUGCUGCAGCCUGAAGAGUCUGCAAGUUUAGCAUGUAGAAGAGACAAGAUUACAGCCUUAGAGUCAAGCAAAGGAGGGUGAAAAGGAGGAGAAGCCUAUGCAAAUUGGAAUACACACAAUCUUCUGACAAUCACUUAGUCUGCAUCUUUCUGCUGUGAAAUCUGGUAACAGCUGGUUUGCUUUACAAGCAAGGAGUACAGAGGGUGCCAAGUCCUCUCAUCCACCAGCAAGCAGAACUAAAGCUGGGCUGUGACUUUCCUCCAAGAUCCCACUUGCACAAACCCUGCCAGCUCUACCUACAAGUAAAAGGCACAAUGCUUCUCCACUACAAGAAAGAGCAGAGAAACACAGCUGUAUGUGGAUAGCAGGGAUUUAAGGUCUAAAAAUAUAUGUUAGACAGGUAUUUUGGGGAUUUUUUUUCUCUCUGCUGCCACAAAAGGUUAUUGCUGACAGUUUCAUAUAAGAAAUUACAGUGUGUGUAAGGACACCA
This 957-nucleotide long non-coding RNA is filed under the name Cyanistes caeruleus (blue tit). Its description in RNAcentral is "lncRNA (ENSCCEG00000012859.1)". The record is from RNAcentral. Lineage: Eukaryota; Metazoa; Chordata; Aves; Passeriformes; Paridae.